GCCAUCCUAGACAUGCCAGCGCCAUGGGUGCAGUCACUCUGCUGUGUCUAUAAUAUCUGGGCAAAGAGAAAGUGGCCAUUUCUGUGCUCAGUGUUCACAAACCAGUGAACACUAAGAAUGGUUUAUAGCCUGAUGUUU
Small nucleolar RNA from Saimiri boliviensis boliviensis (Bolivian squirrel monkey), 138 nucleotides. Lineage: Eukaryota; Metazoa; Chordata; Mammalia; Primates; Cebidae. The record is from Ensembl.